CCCUAGUCAGUGCGAAAGAGCCUGGCUGAGCUCGGAGCGGCCGGGGAGUGAGGCCAGGCUCAGCAGUUGCCAUGAAAACGAGACUUCGCCCGGUGCAACGUUUCCUGUCGCAUCCUGUACUAAUGAUUCCAAUGCAUCUCUGGCUUUCAGAUGCCUGGUUGCGCCUUGGAAGUUACCAUUUGGAAACAAUGAGUUUAAAACCUUUUACCUACCCAUUUCCAGAGACGAGAUUCCUUCAUGCAGGACCCAAUGUGUAUAAAUUCAAAAUCAGAUAUGGCAACAGCAUCAGGGGAGAAGAGAUAGAAAAUAAGGAUGUCAUCAUCCGGGAACUGGAGGAUUCUAUCCGUGCAGUCUUGGGAAACUUGGACAAUCUGCAGCCCUUUGUUACAGAACACUUCAUCGUGUUUCCCUAUAAAAGCAAGUGGGAGAGAGUUUCCCACUUGAAAUUCAAACAUGGAGAAAUUGUCUUGCUCCCCUACCCCUUUGUUUUCACUCUAUAUGUGGAAAUGAAAUGGUUUCAUGAAAACCUGUCACCUGGGAGACCAAUAAAUGACAGUCCUCUUGGCUUGGACUCUGGUUCUUCACUGAAGCUGCUAACUGAGAAGAAAACAGCAGGAGCCUCUGUGAGGAAACGAGGACUUGUGGAAGAACCCGGCUCCCCCCGUAGCACAGGGCUGCGCAGGGCCAAGAUGGGGACUUCUAGUCAAGAAAGCAGCAAAAAGAAGCCCCAUAUGGAAACCAGGAAGAACAAGGAAAGAAAACCCCAGCAGGCGACCCCAGACUCUGAUACCACUGAAGCCCAGGAACAGGGAUUGAACCCAGUGCCUCACACAUACUUGACAAAGUGCUCUACCACUGAACCACAACCCCAGGCCCCUUCCUCUGCUUCUGAUAGUGAAAUUGAUGAUCCUGCAUUUCCAGAAUGUUUCCAAAUAAGGUGGGCAGUAUUGUGGAAAAGUUGGAAGGGAGGUGUCUUUUCUGUGCAGCUGGAGAACCAUCUUGGGGAGCUUUCUCUCCCUCCCCCUCAAAUGUUAAUAUGAACACUCAGGGCACAGACAGGUGCUCUGCUAGGCCCGGGAAUGCAUAUGGAGGUGGUGUCCUUCCAACUUGCUGAUCUUUCACCCAGCAUGAUGAUUCAGUGUGGACUGUAGUUAUCCUAGAAGCAGGACACAAAGCAAGUGAGUUACUGGACACGCUGUCGUUCUGUGUGAAAACAUCAGCUGUGGUGAAUGACUGCGGAGUUGAGCUGUGUAAAUAUCUGUGGAACCUGGCUUUGAAAAUACUCCAAGGUCAGACGAGCAUCUCAUUGAGCUGAGAUGAAAUUGGGAAGGUCAGAGCAAACAAUUCACCUGGCUUUAAAGAAAUCUUGGCAUUUUCGUGUGAAAAUAGCCCAUGGACCAAUACCUUUUUCCUGCCUGAGUGUUUUCCUUACAGAUUCUAAAAAGGAACACAGCCUGCCAGGGCCAGUUGUCCCACCAUUACAGCAAAACAACCCACCUCCACCUAAAGAGCUAGGAACCAGUGGCUUCUUUGGGUUUCUAAGCACCAUCUUCCCGUUUCGAUAUUUCUUCAGGAAGAACAGU
This is an RNA transcript of Sciurus carolinensis (gray squirrel), 1583 nucleotides long. It is a transcript of the gene named membrane anchored junction protein, with no coding region annotated. The transcript has 12 exons. Lineage: Eukaryota; Metazoa; Chordata; Mammalia; Rodentia; Sciuridae. The record is from RefSeq and is a predicted model, not a curated record.